GCCAGCAUGGCGUAGUGGUUUGAACACUGGACUAGGGCUCUGGAGACCAGGGUUCAAAUCCUGGCUUGGCC
Molecule: non-coding RNA, 71 nt
Organism: Phrynosoma platyrhinos (Desert horned lizard)
Lineage: Eukaryota; Metazoa; Chordata; Lepidosauria; Squamata; Phrynosomatidae
Source: the annotation of a GenBank genome assembly